Molecule: ribosomal RNA, 493 nt
Filed under: uncultured bacterium
Lineage: Bacteria
Description: partial 16S ribosomal RNA
Rfam family: Bacterial small subunit ribosomal RNA
Source: RNAcentral
GACGAACGCUGGCGGCGUGCCUAAUACAUGCAAGUAGAACGCUGAAGGAGGAGCUUGCUUCUCUGGAUGAGUUGCGAACGGGUGAGUAACGCGUAGGUAACCUGCCUGGUAGCGGGGGAUAACUAUUGGAAACGAUAGCUAAUACCGCAUAAUAUUGACUAUUGCAUGAUAGUCAGUUGAAAGGUGCAACUGCACCACUACCAGAUGGACCUGCGUUGUAUUAGCUAGUUGGUGGGGUAACGACUCACCAAGGCGACGAUACAUAGCCGACCUGAGAGGGUGAUCGGCCACACUGGGACUGAGACACGGCCCAGACUCCUACGGGAGGCAGCAGUAGGGAAUCUUCGGCAAUGGACGGAAGUCUGACCGAGCAACGCCGCGUGAGUGAAGAAGGUUUUCGGAUCGUAAAGCGCUGUUGUAAGAGAAGAACGAGUGUGAGAGUGGAAAGCUCACACUGUGACGGGAUCUUACCAGAAAGGGACGGCUAACUACG